GUCACGCAGGUCCUCCAGUUCAGUCUCGGCGCCGGCUGUCCCAGUGGCUCUCAGCUGCGCGGCCUCUGGCUGCUAAGGACAGCCCACGACAUUUGGCUGGUGGCUUCGUGUUUUUACUACGUGCCAGACUUUAUUUACAAUGAACGGAACUGAGACCAAGCUAGGAGGGGACUUGUCCUGGGUCGCCCACAGGGACAGGGUGCGAUGUGAACCCACUUCUAGAGGAGUCGGGCUGUUACUGACCAGCUGUCAUUGGAGCCUUGGCCAAAGGGCAGAACUUCCCCGAACCUGUUUUUUCCUCGCGGUUGUCUGUUGGAAAUUUUCUGCACGUUUUCGUUUGUGAGCGGGUGUUUCCUUUUCCCAGCGGCGGAGGGCGGCGAGACCCAGGCGCCGAGGACACUCAAGUCCCCUGAUAGAUGCGCCUCCAGACCGGGCCCUCCACUUCUCUGCUGACCGCUGCCCAGGCUCGCUCGGGCCCAGCGUCGGAGGCAGCAGGCCUGGAGGUGUGCCAUCACUGUUUUUUGAAGUAGCUGCAGCCAUCCACCAGUCACAUGAGAGUCCUGUGGUGUUUGUAUGUUUUACCAUUUUAUUAAAACAAAUUUUUAAAAA
Molecule: non-coding RNA, 609 nt
Organism: Miniopterus natalensis
Lineage: Eukaryota; Metazoa; Chordata; Mammalia; Chiroptera; Miniopteridae
Source: RefSeq, a predicted model, not a curated record